Molecule: ribosomal RNA, 498 nt
Filed under: uncultured bacterium
Lineage: Bacteria
Description: partial 16S ribosomal RNA
Rfam family: Bacterial small subunit ribosomal RNA
Source: RNAcentral
GGAUGAACGCUGGCGGCGUGCCUAAUACAUGCAAGUCGAGCGAACGGACGAGAAGCUUGCUUCUCUGAUGUUAGCGGCGGACGGGUGAGUAACACGUGGAUAACCUACCUAUAAGACUGGGAUAACUUCGGGAAACCGUAGCUAAUACCGGAUAAUAUUUUGAACCGCAUGGUUCAAAAGUGAAAGACGGUCUUGCUGUCACUUAUAGAUGGAUCCGCGCUGCAUUAGCUAGUUGGUAAGGUAACGGCUUACCAAGGCAACGAUGCAUAGCCGACCUGAGAGGGUGAUCGGCCACACUGGAACUGAGACACGGUCCAGACUCCUACGGGAGGCAGCAGUAGGGAAUCUUCCGCAAAGGGCGAAAGCCUGACGGAGCAACGCCGCGUGAGUGAUGAAGGUCUUCGGAUCGUAAAACUCUGUUAUUAGGGAAGAACAUAUGUGUAAGUAACUGUGCACAUCUUGACGGUACCUAAUCAGAAAGCCACGGCUAACUACGUG